Long non-coding RNA from Coturnix japonica (Japanese quail), 1671 nucleotides. The record is from Ensembl. NCBI's taxonomy places the organism in Eukaryota, Metazoa, Chordata, Aves, Galliformes, Phasianidae.
AUGAUGAAAAAUAAAUCUCCACUGGGAUGGGGCAGCCUGGCACAGCUGCAGCCCAUUGCCAGGACAUCCCGAUUCUCAUCACACUGGCACCAUUGCGGUAUGGGCACAGUGGUGGUAACACUUCUCUCCCUUUCAGGUGGUGGUGGCACAAUGGAGGCAGAGGGCAGCCGGGCACGCCGCAGGAAGCCCGACAUGGCCCUCUAUGUGCCCAAAGCAAGGCGGGAGAGAGCGGCACAAGCGGUGGCUGCCAGCCACCAGGAGCCUGAGAAGCAGCACCCAGCAGCGGACAUCCACAAGGGUGGCUCUGAGGGGCAGAGGCAAAGCCCCGGAGCCAGGACACACGUGGGCAGAGCGGCUAGCAAGGAGAGCAAGGCCGGAGCCAAGGAGCCACAGGCAGCCCCUGCUGGGGACAGACAGGCAGUGGGAGCAUCACCAGAUGUGCGGGAGCCAAGUCUGGAGCCAGCUGCUGCAGAGCCCUCAGGCAGAGCAUCCCAGGAUGCGGGGUCUGGGAAGCACAGCCAUGGGGUGAGGACGAUGCCAGAUCCCCUGGGUGCUCAUCCUGUGGCUGCCCCUGAGCAUGGUGGAGAUCCUGAUGGUGUAACGGCAGCUGAGCUGAGCAUGGUGCAUCGGACAGAGCUGGGCAAUGUGAUGGAGCUUCUGGGGCACAGCUCCCUGGGUGCAGCUAUGGAGUGCUCAGGGUGCACAGAACAGGGUGCCUUGCAGCAGGCAGGAGAGGGGAAUGUGAGCAGCACACCCCAGCUCAGCUGGGAGAGUGUGAAAAGCCAUGAGGAGGAGAGGGGGCAUGACGAGUCUGUCCUUGCAGGGCAGAGUCAGGGCUGCUCCACUGACCCUGAGGAAGAGAGGCACAGAGGCAGCACUGCGGUUGCCCCAGAAGGAUCUGCCUGUGUAGCUGAGACAGGGAACACGACAGUAUUCCUGGACCAGAACAUGGGCAGCACAUCCCAGCUCCUGCCAGAGCAUGUGGAGCAGCUGCUGCCCAGCAAGGAGCAGGCCACUGCUGGUGUUGGACAUGAUGGAGGGGAGGGUAUUCUUGUGGCUGAUGGGAGCAGUGAGCUGGGGGCCGGUGAGGAGAUGAGCUGUGUGGGGGGGACAGAAAGUAGCUCCAGGGAUGGAGAUCCCCUGGACAGUCCCCAGCCCCUGAAACCCCUGGAGCUUCUGUGUCACAGCAUGGAACAGCUCUCACCUGGAUCAUGUGCUGAGGAACCGACACGAGCAGAUGAGGAUGAAGGCUGUCAGCGGCAGCACCAGGAGGAAGAGGAGGAUGAGGAAGGAUGUCCCCAUGGCAGCUCCCUAAAGCCGAGUCAGCCUAAUGCCGGGACCCCGAGCAGCCCAGACGCUGCCGAGAGCUGGGAUGCACUUUUCAAUGACGAUGGGGAUUGCUUGGACCCGCGCCUGCUGGAGGAGGUAUGUGUGUGGGGAUGGCUCUGUCCUUGGGUUGUGUCCUGCUGGCAUGUAGGGGUGGGAUGUGUGGGGCGUAGGGGUCCCCAUGGCCACCGAGGUAAGCCCCAUGGUGCAUGGCCUGUGUGUGUGCCAUCACUUCCAGCUGUGCAUGGCAUGAGCAGUGCCAUGAGGAUGCUUCUGGGACCUGCCUGGUGCCAGCAAGGCUGGGGGAGCUCUUCCCCUUACCGGUAUGUAAAGCGCAAUCAGUAA